CUCACGUCCGGUUCGGAGGGCGGGGAUAUCCCGACUUGAAAUCGGGGUCCUUUUCGCAUCCGGAAGCGCUGGUUCAAAUCCAGCUCGUGACA
Molecule: transfer RNA, 92 nt
Filed under: Syzygium samarangense (wax apple)
Lineage: Eukaryota; Viridiplantae; Streptophyta; Magnoliopsida; Myrtales; Myrtaceae
Also listed under: 1 other name
Description: tRNA-Ser
Source: RNAcentral